CACACCCACACACACACACCACAUACACACCACACACACAGAGUCGACUGGCUGAUACCAUGGCAACAAGAGACAGGGCCAGGGGUUAAGAGGUCGUGGAGCGCGCUCAGAUGGACUCGCAGACUGAACUCUGGGAGAUUUUAUUUAUUAACAAACACGGCUGUUAUGUCAGCUGUCGUAGUGAGGUCGUAGCACUACAUGAAGCUCCUGAAGGAUCCUUACAGCCGGACGAAGAGUGUCAGAAGACCCUCUGAUGAUGAAGAUGAGGAUGAUGAGUUUAACACAAACGGACUGGAUGUUUUUUUUCCUCUAAAGAUGAUUUGUCAAUUUGUAAAAAAAAAUAAUAAUAAUAAUUUAAGACAAAAAAAUAUAAAAGUCAUUUUAACAGGAAUAUCUGGACUUGAAUCAUUCAACCCCCUGUAACUCUCUCCCCAUCCUGUGUAGUAACCAAUCACCCUCAAGCUACGUGACAAAGACACUACACUUCCUACAGGAAGUAUUCACACACCUUGAAUUUAUUCCACAUUUUGUUGUUGGAGCCUGAAUUUAAAAUGGAUAUAUUUUGGGUCCCUGGCAAACACACACAACACCCCUAUAAUGUCAAAGUCUACUUUUUUAAUAAACAAGUUCAUUAAAAAAAAGGAAUAUCUGAAAUGUCUUUUGAGUCAAAAUGUGUUUUAGUCACAUCAGUGUCAUGGACUCGCACUGUGUUAUAGUAGUGUUUAACAUGAGUUUUUAAUGUUUACGUUAUCUCUGUAACUCACACACAUACAAUUAUCUGUCAGGUCCCUCAGUCGAAGAGCGAAGAGCGAAUUUAUAACACAGAUUGAUGACCUUAAUGACUUGGAGAAGAUCUGCAAAGAGGAGUGGGACAAAAUCCCUCCUGAGAUGUGUGCAAACCUGGUGGCCAACUACAAGAAACGUCUGACCUCUGUGAUUGCCAAAAAUGGGUUUUGCCACCAAGUACUAAGUCAUGUUUUGCAGAGGGGGUCAAAUACUUAUUUCCCUCAUUAAAAUGCAAAUCAUUUUAUAACAUUUUUGACAUGUGUUUUUCUGGAUUUUUGUUGUUGUUAUUCUGUCUCUCACUGUUCAAAUAAACCUGCCUUUAAAA
This 1111-nucleotide long non-coding RNA is filed under the name Salmo salar (Atlantic salmon). RNAcentral's name for it is "lncRNA (ENSSSAG00000083475.1)". Lineage: Eukaryota; Metazoa; Chordata; Actinopteri; Salmoniformes; Salmonidae. The record is from RNAcentral.